Beta vulgaris subsp. vulgaris (sugar beet) is the source of this 849-nucleotide long non-coding RNA. RefSeq lists it as uncharacterized. The record is from RefSeq and is a predicted model, not a curated record. The transcript has 2 exons. NCBI's taxonomy places the organism in Eukaryota, Viridiplantae, Streptophyta, Magnoliopsida, Caryophyllales, Amaranthaceae.
GGUAGGCCUGGCAAAAGCUGACCCAACCCGACCCGAACCCGACCCGAACCCGACCUGAAAAUAGCGGGUUUGGGUUGAGGUUUUCAACCCGAUUAGUUAAAUGGGUCGACCUGAACCCGACCUGAAAGUUAAAUGGGUCAGGUUCAGGUCGAAUUUUCUGACCUGACAUUGACCCGCCUGACAUGAUAAGAAUGAUUAAACUAAAAAAAAAAUAUUAGUGUUCGGCCGUUUGCCACUUUGCCCAGCCCAAAGAUAUCCCAGCCCAAUAACUAUAUUCUAAGUUUCUAACGCUACCUCUCACUCUCUCUCAUUCUCAUAAAGUCAUAACCCUAAAUUUCUAAUGCAAAUCUCGGUCUCAACUCUCUCUCUCCUAAGUCCUAACCCUAAAUUUCUAGCGCCUCUCUUUCUCACUCUCUCUCAUAGAUGAAAUCUCUCAGUCUUUCACUCUCUCUCACACAGUCUUCUUCGGUGCUCUUCUUCAACAUUUGAUGUUCUUCGUCUCGCAAAGUCGCAAUAAAUCUCUCAAUUUCGUCUCGCAAGUGCAAUUUCGUUGCUUUUCUUCAACAUUUGCUCUUCUUCUUCUCGCAAAGUCGCGCAAUUUGCUGUUCUUCUUCAACAUCAGAGGAGGAGAUUGACUACAAAUGCUGUGAAACACUGAAACCUCAACAAUGUUUUUUUGAGUUGUGGACUUGUGGUUGUAUAAGAUACAUUAUAUAUUGUUGUUUUAUUUUGUAAAACUUUGCUAAACUGUUUUGUAAUAUUGCCAAGUAUGAAUUUGGUUACCUAGAACUUGGUAGAAGUAUGUAAUAUUGCCAAGUAUAAACUUGGUUAGCUAAUACUUUGACGAAA